RNAcentral lists this ribosomal RNA (407 nucleotides) under uncultured bacterium. RNAcentral describes it as "partial 16S ribosomal RNA". It matches the Rfam family "Bacterial small subunit ribosomal RNA", at positions 28 to 526 of the family's 1533-position model. The record is from RNAcentral.
GACGAACGCUGGCGGCGUGCCUAAUACAUGCAAGUAGAACGCAGUUGCGAACGGGUGAGUAACGCGUAGGUAACUGCCUCAUAGUGGGGGAUAACUAUUGGAAACGAUAGCUAAUACCGCAUACUGUGAGAUGUACCUGCGUUGUAUUAGCUAGUUGGUGAGGUAAAGGCUCACCAAGGCGACGAUACACAGCCGACCUGGAAGGGUAAUCGGCCAACCUGGGACUGGGACACGGCCCAGACUCCUACGGGAGGCAGCAGUAGUGAAUCUUCGGCAAUGGUCGAAAGUCUGACCGAGCAAAGCCGCGUGAGUGAGGAAGGUUUUCGGAUCGUAAAGCUCUGUUGUUAGAGAAGCGGUAACUAGCCAGAAAGGGACGGCUAACUACGUGCCAGCAGCCGCGGUAAUAC